This 253-nucleotide ribosomal RNA is filed under the name uncultured bacterium. RNAcentral's name for it is "partial 16S ribosomal RNA". It matches the Rfam family "Bacterial small subunit ribosomal RNA", at positions 524 to 776 of the family's 1533-position model. The record is from RNAcentral.
UACGUAGGGUGCAAGCGUUGUCCGGAAUUAUUGGGCGUAAAGAGCUCGUAGGCGGUUUGUCGCGUCUGCUGUGAAAACUCAGGGCUUAACCCUGAGCCUGCAGUGGGUACGGGCAGACUAGAGUGUGGUAGGGGAGAUCGGAAUUCCUGGUGUAGCGGUGGAAUGCGCAGAUACCAGGAGGAACACCGGUGGCGAAGGCGGAUCUCUGGGCCAUAACUGACGCUGAGGAGCGAAAGCAUGGAGAGCGAACAGG